Molecule: ribosomal RNA, 253 nt
Filed under: uncultured bacterium
Lineage: Bacteria
Description: partial 16S ribosomal RNA
Rfam family: Bacterial small subunit ribosomal RNA
Source: RNAcentral
UACGUAGGGGGCAAGCGUUGUCCGGAUUUAUUGGGCGUAAAGAGCGUGUAGGCGGCCAGGUAGGUCUGCUGUGAAAACUCGAGGCUUAACCUCGAGCUGUCGGCGGAAACCAUCUGGCUAGAGUCCGGGAGAGGAGAGUGGAAUUCCUGGUGUAGCGGUGAAAUGCGCAGAUAUCAGGAAGAACACCCGUGGCGAAAGCGGCUCUCUGGAACGGUACUGACGCUGAGACGCGAAAGCGUGGGGAGCGAACAGG